This 305-nucleotide ribosomal RNA is filed under the name uncultured bacterium. Its description in RNAcentral is "bacterial SSU rRNA". It matches the Rfam family "Bacterial small subunit ribosomal RNA", at positions 335 to 639 of the family's 1533-position model. The record is from RNAcentral.
UUGCCUACGGGAGGCAGCAGUGAGGAAUAUUGGUCAAUGGGAGAGAUCCUGAACCAGCCAAGCCGCGUGAGGGAAGACGGCCCUAUGGGUUGUAAACCUCUUUUGUCGGGGAGCAAAAGCCGGACGUGUCCGGCUGUGAGAGUACCCGAAGAAAAAGCAUCGGCUAACUCCGUGCCAGCAGCCGCGGUAAUACGGAGGAUGCGAGCGUUAUCCGGAUUUAUUGGGUUUAAAGGGUGCGCAGGCGGAUUUUUAAGUCAGCGGUCAAAUCGUGGGGCUCAUCCCCAUCCAGCCGUUGAAACUGGGGA